RNAcentral lists this ribosomal RNA (579 nucleotides) under Streptomyces sp. EECC-65. Its description in RNAcentral is "bacterial SSU rRNA". It matches the Rfam family "Bacterial small subunit ribosomal RNA", at positions 91 to 684 of the family's 1533-position model. The record is from RNAcentral. Lineage: Bacteria; Bacillati; Actinomycetota; Actinomycetes; Kitasatosporales; Streptomycetaceae.
UUAGUAGGAGAACGGGUGAGUAACACGUGGGCAAUCUGCCCUUCACUCUGGGACAAGCCCUGGAAACGGGGUCUAAUACCGGAUAACACUCUGUCCCGCAUGGGACGGGGUUAAAAGCUCCGGCGGUGAAGGAUGAGCCCGCGGCCUAUCAGCUUGUUGGUGGGGUAAUGGCCUACCAAGGCGACGACGGGUAGCCGGCCUGAGAGGGCGACCGGCCACACUGGGACUGAGACACGGCCCAGACUCCUACGGGAGGCAGCAGUGGGGAAUAUUGCACAAUGGGCGAAAGCCUGAUGCAGCGACGCCGCGUGAGGGAUGACGGCCUUCGGGUUGUAAACCUCUUUCAGCAGGGAAGAAGCGAAAGUGACGGUACCUGCAGAAGAAGCGCCGGCUAACUACGUGCCAGCAGCCGCGGUAAUACGUAGGGCGCAAGCGUUGUCCGGAAUUAUUGGGCGUAAAGAGCUCGUAGGCGGCUUGUCACGUCGGAUGUGAAAGCCCGGGGCUUAACCCCGGGUCUGCAUUCGAUACGGGCUAGCUAGAGUGUGGUAGGGGAGAUCGGAAUUCCUGGUGUAGCGGUGA